CCGAGGUCCGUGCACUCAGCCCUCGCCUCCUCCCCGCAACGGGCUGAGCAGGCGGCGAGCGCCGAAUCGGGCGCGCGGCGGCGGAGCCGGGGCCGGAGCCGGUCAGGGAGCAUGGACGAACCCCUAGUGAUUUACAGGUAAGUAUGGCCUGCUCUGGGAAACUUGAAAGGACCUACCAUCCACCGAAUGACAUCUUUGUUUCAAGACCUCUACUUCUCUCAGCUUCAAGUUAGCUUUCAAGAUGGUAGCAGACCAGAAAUGGAAAGGAAUUACCCAUUACUGAGCUGCGAUUGACAGGGUUUUGGAGUGGUGGUGA
Suricata suricatta (meerkat) is the source of this 316-nucleotide long non-coding RNA. RefSeq lists it as uncharacterized. The transcript is spliced from 3 exons. Lineage: Eukaryota; Metazoa; Chordata; Mammalia; Carnivora; Herpestidae. The record is from RefSeq and is a predicted model, not a curated record.